UACGUAGGGUGCAAGCGUUGUCCGGAAUUAUUGGGCGUAAAGAGCUUGUAGGCGGUUUGUCGCGUCUGCUGUGAAAUUUCGGGGCUCAACCCCGAACUUGCAGUGGGUACGGGCAGACUAGAGUGUGGUAGGGGAGACUGGAAUUCCUGGUGUAGCGGUGAAAUGCGCAGAUAUCAGGAGGAACACCGGUGGCGAAGGCGGGUCUCUGGGCCGAUACUGACGCUGAGGAGCGAAAGCAUGGGUAGCGAACAGG
RNAcentral lists this ribosomal RNA (253 nucleotides) under uncultured bacterium. RNAcentral's name for it is "partial 16S ribosomal RNA". It matches the Rfam family "Bacterial small subunit ribosomal RNA", at positions 524 to 776 of the family's 1533-position model. The record is from RNAcentral.